UACGGGGGGGAGCAAGCGUUGUUCGGAUUUACUGGGCGUAAAGGGCGCGUAGGCGGCGCAACAAGUCACUUGUGAAAUCUCCGGGCUUAACCCGGAGCGGCCAAGUGAUACUGUCGUGCUAGAGUGCGGAAGGGGCAACUGGAAUUCUCGGUGUAGCGGUGAAAUGCGUAGAUAUCGAGAGGAACACCUGCGGCGAAGGCGGGUUGCUGGGCUGACACUGACGCUGAGGCGCGAAAGCUAGGGGAGCGAACGGG
Molecule: ribosomal RNA, 254 nt
Filed under: uncultured bacterium
Lineage: Bacteria
Description: partial 16S ribosomal RNA
Rfam family: Bacterial small subunit ribosomal RNA
Source: RNAcentral